This 253-nucleotide ribosomal RNA is filed under the name uncultured bacterium. RNAcentral describes it as "partial 16S ribosomal RNA". It matches the Rfam family "Bacterial small subunit ribosomal RNA", at positions 524 to 776 of the family's 1533-position model. The record is from RNAcentral.
UACGAAGGGUGCUAGCGUUACUCGGAAUCACUGGGCGUAAAGCGUGCGUAGGCGGAAAUAUAAGUCAGAGGUGAAAUCCCGGAGCUCAACUUCGGAAUUGCCUUUGAAACUGUAUUUCUUGAGUAUGGUAGAGGAUGGUGGAAUUCCUAGUGUAGAGGUGAAAUUCGUAGAUAUUAGGAGGAACACCGGUGGCGAAGGCGGCCAUCUGGGCCAUCACUGACGCUGAGGCACGAAAGCGUGGGUAGCAAACAGG